This is a long non-coding RNA of Homo sapiens (human), 1437 nucleotides long. Ensembl annotates it as long intergenic non-protein coding RNA 470. The record is from Ensembl. NCBI's taxonomy places the organism in Eukaryota, Metazoa, Chordata, Mammalia, Primates, Hominidae.
GCAAGUUUGGAGGUAAGAAGUUGCUCUGGCUUUUUGAGUUGCCAAAAUUUUUGCAUUAGUUCUUUCUCAUCUUUGUGGGCUGUUUCUUUAGUCUUUGAUGUUGGUGUCCUUUGGAUGGGGAUUUUUACUAUUAUACUCUUUGAGGCCCUUGAGGGUUUGAUUGCAGUAUAAGUUGGGUUCAGUCAACAGGCUUUAUUUCUGGAUGAUUUCAGAAGAUCUGGGCUCAACUCAGCACUCCUGGCCUGCAUGCUCUAACUCUGAGGAGCUGGAACCAGGCUUACAGCUUUGUUCUCUGGCCCCUCUAGGUUAAGCACUUGCUGCACUGGAGGAGCCAAGGUAUUUCCAGUGUGCCUGCAACAACACCCUGAUGGGGGUGCCAGCAAAAGCACUUCAUUGGGUUGGUGAGGUCCACGUGUGCACACAUGCCAUCAAAGUGGUGGGAAAAGGCUAUGGGCAAGUGUGUGCCAUCGAAGGAGUGGGGGAGACUGUGAAUGUGUGUACAUUGGUGAGGGCCCAUCUGCUGAAGCUCCUUGAUGGUUAGACAGGGUCUGCCAGCAGAAGAGGUAUGGUAGUGGCCACCGGGAAGCACCCGCAUUGGGCAUUUGAGGCUGCACUAUGAGCAGGUGCCACCAGGAAGGGACCCCAGGAAAGGUGGGCAGACAGGGGAGCACUCAGAUUAGACUGGCUUUAUCCCACAGGUAAGACACCCCUACUCUGUCCAGACCCAACUGUCAACAGAAGCCAAAGCCAUCUGGAGGAGCAUGCAACAACAAGAAACAAAUUUAUUAGCUAACCUAACCACUAAUGACGCAAGAGACAAUUCUAAGGACUUUCAAAACAGCAAAGUAGGAGCAGCUGCUACCUCUAGGGAUGAGGGAGAAACUCAAAAAUGCAUACAAAAACCAUUGCAUGAAAAGUGACUGGAUUUGUACAUAGCGUCAGGAGAUGUGCGUAGUGUCAAAGUAUCUCAUCACACAUUACUUGAUAAUUACAAAUGAGAAAAAUGAACCUUCACAGUGGCAAGACUUGACUUCUACCUCUUUCAAAAAGAUGCAAUUGUCCAAUUAUUGGUGAAAUUGUCAUUUCAUGCUAUUGGCUAUUUGAAAUUCCUCCUCUAAUUUCAGAAUAAAUCACUGAAAUUGACAUCGGCCAGUCUGAAUUUCAAGAAAUUACCUGCUGAAGACAAGAGGGAUCUCUUCUUCAGAUUUGCAGUCUGGGGAAGACACAGCCUCUACUGUACUUUAGAACCUGAGAUAUGGUGGUGGAGGGAGCCCUGGGUCGAGUGGUAAGAUUCACCCUUAGGUUAGUAUUGACGUAAGGUGACGAGGAGCUGUAGACAAAAGAUUGUAACCAUAAGAACUUCAUAGUUUUUGUAUUUUCACCGAGCUUAUAUUUGGUGUGUUUUUUGUCUUUUCUUUAUGAUUAUCAAUAAAAUGC